This 486-nucleotide ribosomal RNA is filed under the name uncultured bacterium. RNAcentral's name for it is "bacterial SSU rRNA". It matches the Rfam family "Bacterial small subunit ribosomal RNA", at positions 28 to 523 of the family's 1533-position model. The record is from RNAcentral.
GACGAACGCUGGCGGCAUGCCUAAUACAUGCAAGUCGAACGCGACCAGCCGGUGCUUGCACUGGCGAAGUCGAGUGGCGAACGGGUGAGUAACACGUGAGAAACCUACCCUGGAGUGGGGAAUAACUCGAAGAAAUUCGAGCUAAUACCGCAUACCUUCUUACCGUCGAAUGGUGGUUUGAAGAAAGAUUUAUCGCUCUGGGAGGGUCUCGCGGCCUAUCAGCUAGUUGGUGAGGUAACGGCUCACCAAGGCAUCGACGGGUAGCUGGUCUGAGAGGACGAUCAGCCACACUGGAACUGAGACACGGUCCAGACUCCUACGGGAGGCAGCAGUAGGGAAUCUUGCGCAAUGGGCGAAAGCCUGACGCAGCAAUGCCGCGUGCGGGACGAAAGGCCCUAGGGUCGUAAACCGCUUUCAGUAGGGACGAAAAAUGACGGUACCUGCAGAAGAAGCUCCGGGCCAACUACGUGCCAGCAGCCGCGGUAA